AUGAACGCUGGCGGCGUGGAUAAGGCAUGCAAGUCGAACGAACUUCAUUUUUCCAGAGAUGCGAUUAUAUCAAGUCAAAGGUCGUUUGAAGUUAGUGGCGAACGAGGUAGUAAUACAUAGGAACUUCCCCCAAAGUCUUGAAUAAUCCGGAGAAAUCCGGACUAAUACAAGAUGGUCUCGCAAGAGUAAAGAAUUUCGCUUUGGGAAAGGCCUGUGCGGUAUCAGCUAGUUGGUAAGGUAAUGGCUUACCAAGGCUAUGACGCCUAGGGGGAGUGAGAGCUUGGCCCCCACCGAUGGUACUGAGACACGGACCAUACACCUACGGGUGGCUGCAGUCGAGAAUCUUCCACAAUGGACGAAAGUCUGAUGGAGCGACGCCGCGUGAUUGAUGAAGCCCCUCUGGGGCGUAAAGAUCUUUUAUGAGGGAAGAAGUUUAUUGACGGUACCUCAUGAAUAAGAGGCUCCUAAUCUCGU
Molecule: ribosomal RNA, 474 nt
Filed under: uncultured bacterium
Lineage: Bacteria
Description: bacterial SSU rRNA
Rfam family: Bacterial small subunit ribosomal RNA
Source: RNAcentral